AGUUUAAUCUAAAUUAUAAAAAGGAGAUUUAAUCCAUAUUAUGGAUCCUCCUUGUACUGCUGUGCUCUCUCUCUGUUUAGAUUAUUUUUUCUUGAGCGGUCUAAAUUUUCGAAUAUGUCAAUUUCAAACACAGAGAUCCAACGAGGAUUUUGACUGAUAAAUUCAUAUCAACCAAGCUGAAACUUGAUCAGAUAGAGACAGGUCCCCCUUCACGUUUAUGAUGAGUCAAUAAUGUCCAUGCUUUCUUUUGUUGAUUUGCAAUUUUCCACUUGAACUGACUUUGUUGCAUGUUUUUGGUUUCAUAUUUGGUGCAGGUUCUCAAAUAUUGUCUUCUUUGUUUGGAAUUUGGUUGUACUAAAGUAUGAUGCUUUGGAUUACACGUAACGCAUGAAAAAGGAAAAAAUAAGAAAGAUGACAGAGGGCAUUUUUUUGGAUGGUGGAGCGCGAUCACGUCGUAUAGCCAGUUCAUAUGUUACAUAAUAGGUAUAUUUAGUGAUACACUAAUACUGUAGCAGUGUGCUUUCUUUACUUUUUAAGGGUUCUAAUGCGGUUCUGUGAUUUUUUAUGAUGGAUUGGAU
This 578-nucleotide long non-coding RNA is filed under the name Malus domestica (apple). RNAcentral's name for it is "long non-coding RNA (MDOM_LNC001276)". The record is from RNAcentral. Lineage: Eukaryota; Viridiplantae; Streptophyta; Magnoliopsida; Rosales; Rosaceae.